UACGGAGGAUGCGAGCGUUAUCCGGAUUUAUUGGGUUUAAAGGGUGCGUAGGCGGGCUUUUAAGUCAGCGGUAAAAAUUCGGGGCUCAACCCCGUCCGGCCGUUGAAACUGGGGGCCUUGAGUGGGCGAGAAGAAGGCGGAAUGCGUGGUGUAGCGGUGAAAUGCAUAGAUAUCACGCAGAACCCCGAUUGCGAAGGCAGCCUUCCGGCGCCCUACUGACGCUGAGGCACGAAAGUGCGGGGAUUGAACAGG
RNAcentral lists this ribosomal RNA (252 nucleotides) under uncultured bacterium. Its description in RNAcentral is "partial 16S ribosomal RNA". It matches the Rfam family "Bacterial small subunit ribosomal RNA", at positions 524 to 776 of the family's 1533-position model. The record is from RNAcentral.